RNA transcript from Drosophila albomicans, 9459 nucleotides. It is a transcript of the gene named FH1/FH2 domain-containing protein 3, with no coding region annotated. The record is from RefSeq and is a predicted model, not a curated record. The transcript is spliced from 20 exons. NCBI's taxonomy places the organism in Eukaryota, Metazoa, Arthropoda, Insecta, Diptera, Drosophilidae.
AAAGUAGGAAAAAAUAAGAGACACACGCCCAAAAAUACGCAUAAAAAAGUCCAAAUCGAAAUCGGAAUCGGAGCGUCAGCACAUAAAAUAUCAGCGCAUAAAUAAAAAACUAGAAAAUUGUUGCAGUUGUCUUUUGCCGGCUGCAUUCUUGCCUCCUUGAUCGCUGACUCUGCCGGCGGAUUAUGUAAAGUGGCAAAAGGCAAGCGAGCUCGUUGUCCCAAGGGCCGAUCAGCGCAAAAAAUACGCACGGAAAACUUUUCAAGAAGCAAAUGUAUCCAUUGAAUGUGUGUUGCCAUUUCUCAAUCUCAAUCUCUCUCUCGCUCUCACUCUCUAGUCUGUGCAUCUCUGUCGCCAGUUUUGUCGCCAGUAAAUGCAUCUAAUUUAUUUUGCAUCUAUUGCAAUUGAGGAGGCCACCGUGGCAGCAUCAGCAGCAGCAGCAUCGAGUCGAUGCAUCCGAAAGAUACGCGCGUCGUUUGUCUAAUUGCCAUCAGCAGUUACUUAUUUGUUGUGCCAACUAUCUAAGUGUGUGUGUGUGUGUGAGUGUGUAUUGAAUUACGAGCUAAAAUGCAAAUAUACAAAUUGAUGCCCAUCAAGUGAAAAUGAAAUAAACGGCAAAGCUCUUCAACAAAAUGCAUCUACAGCUCAAAUUGUGCAGUGCGAAUUUCAUGAAUAAUUAACGAGCAUGAAUAAAAUCAAAUGAAAUAAAAUACAAAUAAAAAUACAAAAAAAUAAAAACAAAACGAAAAUAAUUCAAAGCAAAGGAAAAGAAAAUAAAACGCAAUUGGCUAUUGUGAGGCGAGUUGCCAAAAUAACGUAAUCAGCAUGUCGUCCUAUCGAAGUUAUACUCCCUGGAAGUCUAAUCUGAGUUCCUAUAAGCCGAGUAGCUCAACGUACACAUUGGGCAGCGAUCUUGGCAGUGGCGCCACCUCGCGCUACACUUCGCUGGCCACGCCCAGCGCCUACAGACCAUCCUUCUCUGGUGGCACAUAUCGCAUCAAACGUGAUCCGCCAGCUGCCACUCCAGCUGUGACAAGCUACGUGAGUCGCUAUGGCAGCGCAGCGAAAACCGAAGCCAAGGACACGACGAGCUCCAGUGAUCGAAGCAGUCCCAUCAAACGCUACACUGGCACAACAAGUAAACUGGGCAAAUACGGUCGAUCCAGGGAUCCCAGUCCAGUGGCGCUGGAGCACACCAAUCACAACAGCAAGUCGAAGUCAAGGGAUCCCAGUCCGGUGAUGGACAGCGCACGGAGUAAACUGGGAGCUAGUAACUAUCGCAGCGGCAACAGCAGUAGUAGCAGCUCUAGGAACACCUAUGGCAAUCGCUAUGGCAGCACAGGAACCCGACUCAAUAGUAAUACGCUGGACAAAUCCAUCUCUUACUUGACCACAAGUGAUUUCCAUGCGAGAACCGCAAGUCGCGCCAAGGCAAGCAGGGAAAAAGAGCUUGAGGAGCAGCAGACACCAGAACAGCCAGCUGAAACAGUUAAGGAGGUAGCCAAAACGGAGGAAAAAUCCCCGGAGCAACAGUCUGAGACUGCACCUGAGGAAACCUUCAUCUCCGUGUCUGUGGUGACCAGAGCCACCUCACCAACUCCACCAGGCAGCACCACAGUGCAACGCACGCGUCGCAUAGACAUCGCCAAGACCAUCGAGAAGACCAUACAACGCUCCACAAAACCCCGCCAGAUGGUGGAGAAGGAGAUACAAUCGGAUCGCAUGGAUGAUUCCACGAGGUAUUUAAGGUACAGCGCAGCCAGUAGCAGCAUCAGCUCCAACUACAGUUCGCAUCGGGAUCGCAUUAGCAGUCUGCGCUACAACGCAAGUCCUCAGUCCAGCGUUUCACCCAAGUCCAGCACACCGAGCGCCGAGUCCAAGGAACCUUCGGUGAGUCCAGCAAAGAGCAGCGUUAACUUAAGUGUGGCCAGUGUCAAGAGCAGCAGCACAAGCAACGGCAAAUCAAAGUUAUCACCACCAAAGGCGGUGCGACUCAACUCCCGACAAUCCUCCGUUGAGAAUCUGGCCAAUAAACCUCCAGCUGCACCCAGCAAAGCAGAAUCACCCACUAAGAUUAGCAACAGCAGCAACUCGAGCAACUCCUCGGCAAAGUGGCCUUGGCCCAACAAGGACUUUCGCAAGAGCUCGCUGAACGUGGGACCUACGGACAGACCGCGUAAAAGUCGCACGCCCAGCAGCGGCGAGAACGAGGAGGCAACGGGAACAGGUGCGGCAGCAGAGGCAACCUCGGGUUCGGGACUGGAAAGAUCACCUAGUGGCGGCAGCGAAGCUAGCGUCACCUCAGCCAGCUCCGCGCGCAAAGUGAAGCUAAGCAAUGGCAAAGCAAGUACCGUGAAAUUAAAAACGCAUAAAUCCUGUACGCCCAGCACAGGAAGCAGUAGCAAUAGCUCCACAGCGACCUCUGCCUGUUCCUCAUCGGACAGCGAGCAACGCGUCAAGAUCACCAAAAAGACGGGCAAGAAGAAGGCAGCGGCAACAAACGGCGUGCAACCGAAAGAGAAAACAACGAGCAAGAAGGUCGCUGCUAAGCAGGCAACUGACAGCAGCGGUGACAAUGGCGACGAUGGCGAAAAUAGCCACAACAAGUUCGUCACUGACUCACCUAGUGACGCCGCAGUGAGACAGUCACCUGCGACGGCGACAUCGCCACAGACAGAGCAGUCAGCAAAGCAGUUGGCAGCGCAGUCUACAACUCAGUUGGCAGAGCAGUCCUCGGCGCAAUUGGCAGCCCAGUUAUCCCCCAAAUCGCCUUCCCCGCUGCAGUCUUCACCGCAGUCGCCAGCAUCGCAGUUAGCAUCGCCGUCGCCUUCACCGUCACAAUCUCAGUGGACAGCGCAGUCGACGUCGCGUUUGCAGCGCUUGUCGGGGGUGUCGAAUUUUUUCGCCACUCGUCAGCACGACGCAAAUAGUGAACCGAUCUUCAUCGAAAGCUCCGAGAGCGCGGGCGAGGCAGACACGCCGCCAUGUGACUCGAUGGUCACGCUCAGUCUAACGUUAGACACACGAACGAACGAACCAACGACGACGACGAAGACCACAGCAAGUGGCCAGGUGACAACCACAACGAUAACGACAACGACAAACACAACGAGCAGUCCCAACUCCUACAGUUCCAGCACACAUAAUCCUCGCGAAACGAGCACAGCUCAACAGCAACAAAAACACUACGACAAAGAGUCGAGUUUGACCACAAGCGAGGCAAAUCCCUCGGAUCUGGACGAACCCAGCUGGUGGCAGGACACGAGUCUGCAGAUCAACACGGCUUCCGCUUUGGAUUACAAUAAUCGCGGUGAGAUGCCUUACAGGUUGCGCCACAUUGAUUCAGGGGAGGAGCAAGCCUGGUGGCUGCGUCAGGAUGAGGGCGAUGACGAUGAUACGCUAGCGGAAGAAACCUUAAAUCCGCUGGAUGAUGAGCAGUCUAGGGAUGCAAGUGUGGAGAUCACCGAGGGUGGCAAGGCAGCUUGUGGUGCUUGGUGGAGCAGCAGCAACGACAACGAAAGGGAGCAGGAACAAGAGUCAGAAGUGCAGGGCAAGCUGAUGCCCAGAAGUCGCAUCUCCCCCGAGCAAGAUGCCUGGUGGCUGGACGAGGAACAGACGCAACAACAAACUCCAAUCAAAUCCCUGACGCCAGAGUGCAAGACCAACGGAUAUCACGAUGAGCCUCAUGUGGAGGUGACCCUCAAGCUGCCCAGCAACAGCUCCAAGGCGAGCAACGGCAGUGGAAGCAGCGCACCCACGGAUGCUGCUGCACAACACUGGUGGAUGUCGGGUCCGGCUAAGAAGCUGUUCAACGUACAGCGCGUGGAGUCCGGUGAGCGUGCCUGGUGGCAGGAGAAGGAACAGGAGGCACCACCUCCGCCUCCACCAGUGAAGCAAGCAACGCCUCCAACGCCGCCGCCACGCAUAAUCAAGCACUGGGAGUCAGGAGAGCGCGCCUGGUGGUUGCAGGAUGACGAGCAACAGCCUGGCAACGCUGGUGAACAGUUGUUGCCCUCAAAUGGCAACGACGUCGUGGACUUUAAGCAAACGAAUGGGCAGAUACCACGCCCACUGGCACAGGAUGCGCCCUCGGAGCUGAGCAGCUCCUUCAAUUUUGCGUACUCAGUGCGACCGCCGCCCUUGGGACAAUGCUCGAGUCCCGUGCCGCCCGAGCUGGCCAACGAGCUGGCGGAGCAGCGAAAGCUUUGUGCAUCGCCCUACGAUAACAUUCCAAUGUCAAAAGUUCAAAUGGCAGCAGCGCCGUCGACGCCACAGUUGCAGCCAGCCACAGCGCCUCGCUAUGCUUAUGCUCCGCAGCCGGGCCGCGUGGGCGACAAGCUUUUUAUAUCGCGACAUCAAAACAUCGAUGAGCUUUUGGGCGGCGCAUGCCGUCCCCUCAGUCCACUUUUCUAUAACGGCGGCGGCAUCGGCAUCUUAGAGAGUGGCGAGGCAUCACUGCCGACGUCGGCGUCGCUGCCGCCGGCGAACAAGAAUAUGUUUCUGCUCGAGGAGAUUACGCCGGAUCAGGUGCGAAUACACGACAGCACCGCUCAGCUGCCGGUCAUACAGCGUAUGCAACGCGAUGUCGAGUGGCUAGAGAAUGGCAGCAGCAGCAACUUUUAUGAGCAGCAACAGCAGCAGCCGCAACAACGCAGGAUCGACGAUGCUGCUAUUCAGGUGUUUAAGGAUGGCGAAUAUGGCGCCUACUUGGAUCUGGAGUCAUCUCUCGCCGAGCAGACUGAAGAGAUUGAGGGACUGCAAGCGAGUCGCAAAAACUCGCUGGUGGUGCGCACACAGCUGAGCGUACGCGUUCAGGCCAUUAUUGAGAAACUACUCUCAUCAGAGGGCAGCGAUUUGCGUCGUGCACUAUUCUCUCUCAAACAGGUGUUCCAAGAGGAUAAGGAUCUCGUGCAUGCCUUUGUCGCACUGGGCGGUCUCAAUUGUCUGGUGCGCGUUGGCAAUUGUGCCGAUCAGAACUAUCAAAACUAUAUACUGCGUGCCCUGGGACAGGUCAUGCUCUAUGUGGACGGCAUGAAUGGCGUUAUGAAGCAUCAGCCCACCAUGGAGUGGCUCUAUUCAUUGAUCGCAUCCAAUUACCGUUCGGUUGUGAAGACGGCGCUCAAGCUCUUGCUCGUGUUCGUCGAGUAUGCCGAGUCCAAUUGCUAUGUGCUUGUGAGCGCCAUUCAUGCAGUGGACGCUGCCCAAGGCACAGCGCCAUGGACAAAUAUAAUGAGACUGUUGAAGGACUAUGAUAACGCAGAUGCAGAGCUGGUGAUUUAUGCUACUUCUCUCAUAAAUAAAACGCUUGCUGGACUGACGGAUCAGGAUAGUUUCUAUGAUGAAAGUGAUCUUCUGGAACAACAGGGCAUGGAGGCAGUGAUACUACGCUACAUGUCCAAGCCAGGCACAGAUAUGGAUCUGUUAGAUCAGCUGCAGCUGUACGAGGCCGUGUUAAAAUUCGAGGAUGGCGAGUCGGAUGGCCAGCGCUUGCCACAGAAUUCUAUGCGCAAGACGCAACGCAAUCGUCCUGGCACUGGAACCGCAGAACGUCGCAAGUCGCGUCGCCACAGCACCGACAAUAGCCCGGCGCCAUUGACCAAAGUGCUGCCGACCACAGUGCUGAGAAUGACGCCAACGCAGGCCACGCUCGAUGAGGACGACAGCUCGGGCUCGACCAACUCCACAGAGUUCAGUGGCGGACUGUUUCAGGAGAAGAAACCUCGCGAUGGCGCUGGGGUCACUCCGGGUCUAAGACGACGUCGUGAACGCGCCGAGCGCCACAAAAGCUUCCUCAAGGAGCAAGAGGAAGCGGCAGCCAAUGGAAUCCUUGCAGCCCGCGAGCUGCGUGAAAACUAUGGCCAAAUUGUAACUGCCAUACCUGCAACCAUCCAAAGCGGCGACAGUCCGCCGCAAUCAUUGCAAACUGAGCUGCUGCCGCCAACUUCGUCGCCUCCAAACGCAAGCAUACUAGAGUCCAACACACCCAUUAGCAAUAAUAAUUCGAGCCACAACAACAACAGCAUACAACAGUCCCACAACAACAAUAGCAACAAUAACAAUCACAUUGAGACGCCCAACAACAGUCUGUUGCUGAGUCCCACAAAGCAACUGUUGAGUGGCAGCCAAAGCAUUUCCAUCAUCAACAACAGCUUUGACAAGGCCAACAAUAAUACGAACAAUCAGAACGAGUUCCUUACCAAAAAGAACCUCUUUCGGGAGCGCAACGCAACUGUGAUCAACGGCAUCAUGAAGAACAUUCAGCAAACGGAGUGCAGUGCCUACAAAAAGUAUGAGAACGAUGCCAAUCGACUGAACAACUAUUACACGCAACUCAAUCAAUCGCCCAAGCAUCUGGCGGCCACCGCACAGGAAGUGCUUAGCCCCAAAAAGACGUUGAAUGGCUUUGAGUUUGCUGCCAGCGACAGUUCGACACCAUUAAAAUUGGAGCCGUUGCCAGCACCCGAGCCAUUGAGUCCCAUACACAAGCCAAUUGCAGUUGGUGCGCCACCGCCACCGCCUCCACCACCGCCGCCGCCACCGCCUGGCUGGUGGCAUUUUCCCCAAUUGAAUACACAGCCUCGGGCACAGCCGAUGGCAGCUAGAACCACCCUAACAACCAGUACUAACCCAGAGCAACCACAACAAGACAUGGAUACAACAGAUCUGGAGGAUAAGGAUAUGCUGCUGCAGCUGAAACGAGAUCACACGGUCAAGGAUCUCACACGAAAGCUGAGCAAUCUCCCCACGAGUCCCACACAGGAGCCAGGCAAUCGGGGCGCUAUUUGCGGUGACAUGUCGGGCCUCAUAUCAAAAGCCAAAGAAGGUCUUGCCAAGAGCAAGAGCAAAAGUGAAAUAUCGCGCUCAUCGAGCGUCGAUCAGGAACUGAAAAAGCCCGAGCCGAAGAAAUCGGAGAAUGAACUGCACUGGGAAGAGCUUGUACGCAACAUGACACGUCCGCUGAAUCUAUGUGAUCUGGACUUUACCGAUCUGCACUCGGAUGACGAUAAGGAUGUGCUGGCACCGCGUGGUCUGGGCGCCGGUAUUCCGCCUCCACCGCCGCCACUUGGUGGUGGCAUGGUAAUGCCGCCCCCCAUGAUGCCGCCCAGCCUGGCCCCGCCACCCAUGUUCAAUUAUGGUGGCUAUGGCGCUGGCAGCCUGACCAACAGCGUCAACAGUUCACUGAAUGGUUCGGUGAACGGAGAGCUGGCAAAUGGCAACAACACCAUCAAGAAGAACAAGAAGACGGUCAAGCUCUUCUGGAAGGAAGUGCGCGAGGACAUGAUUCCCCAGGUGGUGGGUAAGACCAUUUGGGACGAGCUGCCCAAUGCCAAUGUGGACACCCAAAAGCUAGAGCAUCUCUUUGAGUCGCGGGCCAAAGACUUGAUGACCAAGAAACAACAAGAGCUGAACAAGAGCAAAGAGAUCAUCGUGCUGGAUCACAAACGCUCCAAUGCCAUCAACAUUGCAAUGACCAAGUUGCCACUGCCGUGUGCCAUCAAAACUGCGAUUCUCAAGAUGGACGCCACCGUGGUCACCCGUGAGGGCAUCGACAAGCUGUUGAACAUGUUGCCCUCGGAUGAGGAACGAGACAAGAUUCAGGAGGCACAGAUGUCCAAUCCAGAGCUGCAGCUGGGUAAAGCUGAACAAUUUCUGCUGACACUCGCUUCCAUUUCAGAGCUGGGCGCACGUCUGAAGCUCUGGGCCUUCCGCUUGGACUUUGACAAUUGCGAGAAAGAGAUCGCUGAACCUCUAAUGGAUCUCAAGCACGGCAUUGAGAUAUUGCGUCAGAAUCGCACUUUCCACUGCAUUCUCUCCACACUGCUUUCGGUGGGCAUCUUCUUGAAUGGCGCCCCUGUGAAGGGCUUUCAAAUCGAGUAUCUGGCCAAGGUGCCCGAGGUCAAGGACACCGUGCACAAGCAUUCGCUGUUGCAUCAUCUCUGCCACAUGGUCAUGGAAUCGAGCAGCGAUACCAGUGAUUUGUACUCUGAAAUCGGACCCAUUACACGUGCCUCCAAAGCCGAUUACGCCGACUUGGCUCACAAUCUGACGCAGCUGGAGGCGGAGUGCAAAACUUCGUGGGAUCGACUGAAACUUAUUGCCAAGCACGAUUGUGCGCCGCCUUUAAAGCAGAAACUUGUGGACUUUUUGGCCGAUUGUGCCGAGCGUAUUAUUAUACUGCAGAUUGUGCAUCGUCGUGUAAUGAAUCGCUAUCGCAAGUUCCUUUUGUGGCUGGGGACGCCGCAGAUCAGUGUUGCAGACUCGCGACCGAAUGAAUUCUGUCGCCUGUUGUCGGAGUUUGCCCUAGAGUAUCGCACAACGCGGGAACGUGUGCAGCAGCAGUUGGAGAAGAAGGCCAAUCAUCGGGAGCGCAACAAGACGCGCGGCAAGCUCAUCAUUGACAUGGCCAAGUUCAAGACCAAAGAGGAUGUGGCAGAUGCCGAGCUCAAACAACUUUUGGGCACGCCCAACGCUGAUCAGCCGGACGGCACGCUGACCUGGCGUAGAAGACGCGCCGAGCAGUUGCGCUCGCCUAUCGCACGCCAGAGCGAGGAACAGUUCACCGAUGGCGAUGAUGAAAUACUCGAAUCUCUCGUCAAGACCGCCACAAAGACGUCCGGCAAUCGGACGACGCCACGUGAGCGCAAACGCACGCGUCAUGCGGAUCGCAAGUCCUUGAAACGCAGCCGCACGCGCGAAGGAUUCACAAUUGAAAGAGCACCAUCGCCAUAGCAGGCGUAACCGUUACCGUAACCGUUAGCAUAACCGUUAACCGUUACCGAAAAGAACAGCCAACUGUUUUUUAGGUCUUUAACUUUUUGUGCGUCGCACGCUGAAAAACGGUCUCACCGACGAGGAGAAACAGCAUGUGGCGGCCCUAAUACAAACCUAUUAGAGCUAAGGAAGCUUCCUCUAUAUUUUCCUCAUCUCCCCUUAAACAAUUCCCAUGAUCCUCAAUCAACGCCCAGUGACGUCACAAGUCGGGACUUUGCGUGCGCACAGACUGAAAAUUGGCGAUCUCACAACACUGAAGCAGUCGGAACUGGAACCAGUAUCGAACCGGAACUGAAACUGUUAAUUUGGAACUGCAAUACUCCCCAAAUCUGAAACGAGCAAAACGUGCGCUAAACUACAACAAAAAAGUCCUUACAAAACUCCGCAAAAAAAAAGUUCUCUUAGUUUUCAUUUUGCACUGUUAUUCGAUAUUUUGUUUUUACUUUUAGCUAAGUAUUAAAAUUAAUCAUAUAUUAUAUGCAUAACAAUCACAACAAAAAAAACAAAAACCUACAAAAAUCAACUGUAUUAAUAGCCAAAACAAAUUGAGCUUUAGAAUCGGACAAGAGAAUUCUAAAUGUGUGUGGGGAACAUUUUUAAUUUGUGCUUUCUAAAUUAACUUAAAUUAAUUAUAAACUUAGCCUUAAAUUAACUACGAAAAUAAAUAAAAUACAUAUUUAUUAAAUGAAA